GAUUAACGCGGGCGGCGUGCAUAACACAUGCAAGUCGAACGAUGAAACUUUUUUGAUUUUUCGGAAUGAUUAAAAGUGGAUUAGUGGCGGACGGGUGAGUAACGCGUGAGUAACCUGCCUUAGAGAAGGGGAUAGCCUUUGGAAACGAAGAAUAAUACCCUAUGAAACCAUAACCUCGCAUGAGGCCUUGGUCAAAGAUUUAUCGCUCUAAGAUGGACUUGCGUCUGAUUAGUUAGUUGGUGGGGUAACGGCCCACCAAGACAGCGAUCAGUAGCCGGCUUGAGAGAGUGUACGGCCACAUUGGGACUGAGACACGGCCCAGACUCCUACGGGAGGCAGCAGUGGGGAAUUUUGCACAAUGGGGGAAACCCUGAUGCAGCGACGCCGCGUGAUUUAGAAGGCCUUCGGGUUGUAAAAAUCUUUUCUAUGGGAAGAAAAUGACAGUACCAUAGGAAUAAGGACCGGCUAAUUACGUGCCAGCAGCCGCGGUAAUACGUAAGGUCCGAGCGUUGUCCGGAAUCAUUGGGCGUAAAGGGUACGUAGGCGGGUAAGCAAGUUAGAAGUGAAAUCCUAUAGCUCAACUAUAGUAAGCUUUUAAAACUGCUCAUCUUGAGGUAUGGAAGGGAAAGUGGAAUUCCUAGUGUAGCGGUGAAAUGCGCAGAUAUUAGGAGGAAUACCGGUGGCGAAGGCGACUUUCUGGCCAUAACCUGACGCUGAGGUACGAAAGCGUGGGUAGCAAACAGG
Molecule: ribosomal RNA, 744 nt
Filed under: uncultured Anaerococcus sp.
Lineage: Bacteria; Bacillati; Bacillota; Tissierellia; Tissierellales; Peptoniphilaceae
Description: bacterial SSU rRNA
Rfam family: Bacterial small subunit ribosomal RNA
Source: RNAcentral